GUGGCUCUGAUGCUAUUGCACCACAUGUGUUUUUCUUUGAAACAAACUUGCUUUGGCGGUGGGCCCAGCCUGCCGCCAGAGGUCUAAACUUACAACCAAUUUUUUAUCAACUUGUCACACCAGAUUAUUACUAAUAGUCAAAACUUUCAACAACGGAUCUCUUGGUUCUCGCAUCGAUGAAGAACGCAGCGAAAUGCGAUACGUAAUAUGAAUUGCAGAUAUUCGUGAAUCAUCGAAUCUUUGAACGCACAUUGCGCCCUCUGGUAUUCCGGAGGGCAUGCCUGUUUGAGCGUCGUUUCUCCCUCAAACCGCUGGGUUUGGUGUUGAGCAAUACGACUUGGGUUUGCUUGAAAGACGGUAGUGGUAAGGCGGGAUCGCUUUGACAAUGGCUUAGGUCUAACCAAAAACAUUGCUUGCGGCGGUAACGUCUACCACGUAUAUCUUCAAACUUUGACCUCAAAUCAGGUAGGACUACCCGCUGAACUUAAGCAUAUCAAAAGGCGGAGGAA
RNAcentral lists this ribosomal RNA (509 nucleotides) under Candida albicans. Its description in RNAcentral is "eukaryotic LSU rRNA". The stretch from base 142 to 295 matches the Rfam family "5.8S ribosomal RNA". The record is from RNAcentral. Lineage: Eukaryota; Fungi; Ascomycota; Pichiomycetes; Serinales; Debaryomycetaceae.